GGCGGGCCCCCCCGCAUUGCAGCCUGGUGAACCUGGUCAGGUCCGGAAGGAAGCAGCCACAGCUGGACACUGCAAGUGCCGGGGUCAGGCUCGCCUUG
RNAcentral lists this signal recognition particle RNA (98 nucleotides) under Betaproteobacteria bacterium. RNAcentral's name for it is "signal recognition particle sRNA small type". It matches the Rfam family "Bacterial small signal recognition particle RNA". From Rfam's summary of the family: The signal recognition particle (SRP) is a universally conserved ribonucleoprotein involved in the co-translational targeting of proteins to membranes. Archaeal SRP consists of a 7S RNA and homologues of the eukaryotic SRP19 and SRP54 proteins. In most bacteria, the SRP consists of a 4.5S RNA and the Ffh protein (a homologue of the eukaryotic SRP54 protein). Lineage: Bacteria; Pseudomonadati; Pseudomonadota; Betaproteobacteria. The record is from RNAcentral.